AGAGGCACUCUGUCUUUUUGAGUUUUCAGUGUUUUUGCAUUGAUUCUUUCUCGUCUUUGUGGGCUUAUCUACCUUUGACCUUUGAGGCUGCUGACUUCUGAAGGAGUUUCUGUGGGGUCUUUUUUGUUGAUGUUGUUGUUGCUGUUUUCUGUUUGUUGUUUUUUUUUUUCUUUUCACAGUCAGGCUACUGACUGUUAGCAACCACAGGCUGCUGUGGUUUGCUGGGGAACUGCUCCAGACCUUAGUUGCCUCUGCUUUUCCUGUACUUGGAGGUAUCAACAGUGAAGGCUGUGAAGCAGCAAAGAUGGCAGCCUGCUCCCUCCUCUGGACACUCCAUCCCAGGGUGGGUACUGACCUGCUUCUGGCCCAAAUGCUCCUUUCGGAGGUUUAUUGAAAGGUCUCACCUAGUCAGGAGGAAUGGAAUUAGGCCCUUAUUGAAAGGUCUCACCUAGUCAGGAGGAAUGGAAUUAGGCCCUUAUUGAAAGGUCUCACCUAGUCAGGAGGAAUGGAAUUAGGCCCUUAUUGAAAGGUCUCACCUAGUCAGGAGGAAUGGAAUUAGGCACCUGCUUACAGAAGCAGUCUGGCUGUAGACCAGGUGUGCUGUGUUUGGGAGGACCCUUCCUCAUCCGGACUGCCCAGACUCUCUAGAGUAGGCAAGCUGGAACAGCUCAGUUGACCGAACCACAGAGAUGGCGGCCUCCCCUCCUGCCGGGAGCUCCAUCCCAGGGAGAGAUCAGAGCUCUCUGUCCAUAUAAGCCUGGCUGGAGUGAUUAAAGGCCCCCCACAGGGAGGCCCUGCCCAGUGAGGAGGAAUGGAUCGGGGUCCCACUUUAAAGCAGUUUGGGCACAAUCUGGCACAGCAGCUGUGCAGUGUUGGGGGGGUAUCCCCUCCUCAUCUGGACCACCCAGACUCUCUGGAGCUGGCAGGCUGGAAUGUGCAGUUGACCAAACCAUAGAAAUAGUAGCCACCCCUCCCCCAGGGAACUCCCUCCUGUUUCAGGCAGACUCACUGUGUUGCCAUUGGCUGGCUGGAAUUUCCAAGCCAGUGGGUCUUAACUUGUCCUCACAAAGGACGUGGGGCCCGCAGAACAAUGCUGCUUGGCUCCCUGGAUUCAGCCCCCUUCCUAGGGGAAUGUACAAAGGGAUCUGUCACCUUGCUGGGAAUUCCAGGGUGGAGUAUGUAAAACUCUUGUCUCUGUGUGUACCUGUGCUGAGGCUCCACACAGCUCUGUUUAUUGGAUCCAAGGCCCUAGUAGUGUGGGCUCAUGAGGGGAUCUCCUGAUCCACAGGUUGUAAAGAUCUGUGGGAGAAGCAUGGUUUCCUGGGCGGGUUGCACAAUCAGUCACUGCUUCCCUCUGCUGGGGGUGGGGGUUCCUUUGGCUCCGUGAGGCUCCUGGGUGGGCCAGUGGCCCACUCUGCUUUUCUUUAUUCUCUCCGGGUCAGGAUGAUUGUCUAGUCAGUCCCAGUGUGAGAACCUGGAUAUUUCAGCUGAAGGUGCUGAAUUCACUCGACGCUUUCAUUCCUCUCUGUGCUGUAGGCUGCAGCUGCUUCUAAUGGGCCCUCUUGGUCCCCAACUCAACAAUGGCUCUUGUUUUAGCAGUCUCUCUUUGAUUUUAUAAAUAGAAUGAGUUGUUCUGUUAUGAAUGCCUGCUGCUCUAGUUCUUCAAUAAGCCCAUCACACAAUUUCACCCUGUCAUCUAUAGGCACUUUUUCUGCAGUGUUAACAACAUCACUAUUAUCAUGAUUACCUUAUUCAGAAUCAUUUUGGCCAUUUCACCAUUGGUCAAUGAAUGAACAAGUGGAGCCUUGUUAUCAAUGUUAAAAACUUCUUUAGUAUUCACUUCUUCCAGCUUACUGACGGAUUAUGAAGUCUAUUUUUUUGCAAAGGUAAGGAGUUCAGCCAUCUUUUUUUUCUCGCUUGACAUAUAUAAUCCUUCAAAGCCACCAUCUUGUUUAUCAUUACCACUGGACAUAGCUGUAGGCCAGAGUUGUGCCACGCAUGCACACCUGUUUCAAGCAAUGGCAACAGCAUAUAGAGCAUCCUCAGGCUAAACUCCUUUUGAACACUUUCUCACACCCACACCUCUGUACACCGCUGCUAGCCAGCAUGCUGUUCAAGAAAAGUGUUUUUUUAAUCUACUCUUUAAUUGAUCUAAGGAUACUCUGGUCACAUGGCUAAAAUGAUGAAGUCACAUUUGAGGGAAAGUACAUGGAAUAGACAUUUUUAAAAUGAGAAUUUCAGCUGGGAGAUGAGCAGAACAGUUGUCAUGUAAUAACAAAAUCUUGCCGUCAUCAUCCAGUCGAGUCUCCCUGCAGCAAGCAUUAGCCACUUGGUACCAAACGUUUGUGAAACCAAUCAAAAAAGAUGUCCCUGGUGCUCCACGUCUUUCUGUUAGCAUACUAACAGACUGGUAAGAAACUCGCUCCUUGAAAACAGUGAGGACACAAGUUUUUAUCUAUCACCCCCCUUAUGUGUGCCUGAUGCAUUAACACAUCCCGGCAUAUUCUGUCCUUGGCAGCCUUAAUUCUAGUAGGUGCUGUUUCAUCAGCUGUAGUCAGUGUCUUUCUGAGGCAAUGAUGCCAAAACAGUGAUGUUUCUUCAGCAUUAUAGACUUGUUUUGGCUUCAGAUUUUCAUUAGGCAUGACUGGCAAACUCAAUGAAUUUCUUCACUGCUUUGUGAUCAGCAGAUGCUUUAUCAUCACAAAUCUUUAAAAAUGUAAUGCUGUGUCUUUUGUUAAAUUUCUGCAACCAGCCUAUUGAUUAUUCACAUUUCCUUUUCAUUUUCAGUUCAUCAAGAUCUUUGCUUGUUUCAUGGUCAGCAUACCAUUAUGUGGCAUGUGUUCACUGUGACGUGGACAGAUCCGCACUUUCAAUACAUGAUCAAGAUCUUCAUGUUUGACUUUAUGCAGUUUUCUAAUUUUCACUAACUUCUGUGAAUCAGUUUCAGCACAGAACUUCAACAAUGUAUCCUUCUGUUUCUUCAGGUCAUAUAUGGAUGUUUCAUAUACUCCUGUCCAGUUUCUCCAACAGCUUGGCUUUCUGUGCUAGAGGUAAACAUAAAUGCUUCCUCUUUUUAUCAGUUACCCUGAGGGGUAUUUGUAGGUCAUUUUGUCAUUUUCAGCAAUACCUUUAUACCACAGAGCAAAGAGUAAGCAAGCAAACACAGUUGAGUCAUGCAUGUAGGUCUUGGCUCCAUGUGGGGCAUUGUGGGAAACCUGCCAUCAGCAUGCCUGGCCUGCACACACGCCAUUUUACUAUCCUUUGUGGGUGUGCUUGCUUGCAUGGGGGAAACUGGGUGUCUGUGGAAAAGAUAUAUGGCAGCUGAAGGGAGCUGGGAGGGAUUUUUUUUUUUUUUCUUUUCUGCUUGGGGAUGCCGAGUAAACUGUGUAUUGUGUGCCUGCGUUUUGACUUGACUCGCCAUAUAAGGUCAAGUAUAACAUUUUCAACGCAUGAUGUCAUGCUGGUGCUAAAAAGGUUUUGGAUUUUGGAGCAUUUCAGAUUUUGAAAAUUUGGAUUAGGGAUCCUCAACCUACAUUGCUGCAUAUCUGUCACUCACUUCCACGGUGACAUGGAAUCUGUGUUCACCCAGAAAGCUAACUGAGCUGAGAAAAAAAUCUUAAAGGGAGAUGUCUUUCAUUAUCAUUUCAGUUCAUUUACCGGUUGAUAAUUAGUCAUCUUUUCUAUUUCUUCUUGUUCAAGUUUUGGGAAUUUACACAGGUUAAUUAAUUUACACUUUUUUUUCUUUUUUUUUUUUGAGACGGAGUCUUGCUCUGUCACCCAGGCUGGAGUGCAAU
Cercocebus atys (sooty mangabey) is the source of this 3794-nucleotide long non-coding RNA. RefSeq lists it as uncharacterized. The transcript is spliced from 2 exons. The record is from RefSeq and is a predicted model, not a curated record. Lineage: Eukaryota; Metazoa; Chordata; Mammalia; Primates; Cercopithecidae.